GGCGAUGCUUCAUUCAAAUAUCUGCCCUAUCCAACUUUCGAUGGUAGGAUAAAAGGCUACCAUGGUUUCAACGGGUAACGGGGAAUAAGGGUUCGAUUCCGGAGAGGGAGCCUGAGAAACGGUACACAUCCAAGGAAGGCAGCAGGCGCGCAAAUUACCCAAUCCCGACACGGGGAGGUAGUGACAAUAAAUAACAAUAUAGGGCCUUUUGG
This 212-nucleotide ribosomal RNA is filed under the name uncultured fungus. Its description in RNAcentral is "partial 18S small subunit ribosomal RNA". It matches the Rfam family "Eukaryotic small subunit ribosomal RNA", at positions 286 to 499 of the family's 1831-position model. The record is from RNAcentral. Lineage: Eukaryota; Fungi.